Molecule: unclassified non-coding RNA, 339 nt
Filed under: rhizosphere metagenome
Description: partial ribosomal RNA internal transcribed spacer region
Source: RNAcentral
GUAGGUGAACCUGCGGAAGGAUCAUUAACACGUAUCCACGUAUUAACUAAACGGUAACUGUAUCUCCCUAGUAAUUGUUUAGCUGUUUGACCGAAUCAUGGUGGGUAUACACUCGUGUAUACGAAUUGGUUGAACUUGGGCCUCGAGCUCAAAGCUUUACUCUUUAUUAGGCUUUCUUUUCCAUCUAACCUUUCUACCCUAGGGGAAGAUGGAAUCUAUAAAAACCUAUUUCACCCUAACUAUCAACAUUUGACUAAUACUAUUCACUUGGAGAAAUCCAAGCCUGAAUUGAGUUAUCUUAACUAAGCACAACUCUUAGCAAUGGAUAUCUUGGUUCUC